RNAcentral lists this ribosomal RNA (255 nucleotides) under uncultured bacterium. Its description in RNAcentral is "partial 16S ribosomal RNA". It matches the Rfam family "Bacterial small subunit ribosomal RNA", at positions 523 to 776 of the family's 1533-position model. The record is from RNAcentral.
UAGCAGAGGUCUCGAGCGUUGUUCGGAUUCAUUGGGCGUAAAGGGUGCGUAGGUGGCUAGGUAAGUCGGAUGUGAAAUCCCCGGGGCUCAACCCCGGAACUGCAUUCGAUACUGCCUGGCUAGAGUACUGGAGAGGAGAUUGGAAUUUACGGUGUAGCAGUGAAAUGCAUAGAUAUCAGGAGGAACACCGGUGGCGAAGGCGGUUCUCUGGGCCUGUACUGACGCUGAGGAGCGAAAGCGUGGGGAGCGAACAGG